RNAcentral lists this ribosomal RNA (237 nucleotides) under uncultured Actinomycetales bacterium. RNAcentral describes it as "partial 16S ribosomal RNA". It matches the Rfam family "Bacterial small subunit ribosomal RNA", at positions 96 to 334 of the family's 1533-position model. The record is from RNAcentral. Lineage: Bacteria; Bacillati; Actinomycetota; Actinomycetes; Actinomycetales.
UGGCGAACGGGUGAGUAACACGUGAGUAACCUGCCCUUGACUUUGGGAUAACUUCAGGAAUCUGGGGCUAAUACCGGAUAGGAGCUCCUGCUGCAUGGUGGGGGUUGGAAAGUUUCGGCGGUUGGGGAUGGACUCGCGGCUUAUCAGCUUGUUGGUGGGGUAGUGGCUUACCAAGGCUUUGACGGGUAGCCGGCCUGAGAGGGUGACCGGCCACAUUGGGACUGAGAUACGGCCCAG